RNAcentral lists this ribosomal RNA (872 nucleotides) under uncultured marine group I thaumarchaeote. RNAcentral describes it as "SSU rRNA". It matches the Rfam family "Archaeal small subunit ribosomal RNA", at positions 24 to 904 of the family's 1478-position model. The record is from RNAcentral. Lineage: Archaea; Thermoproteati; Nitrososphaerota.
UGACUGCUAUCGGAUUGAUACUAAGCCAUGCGAGUCAUUGUAGCAAUACAAGGCAGACGGCUCAGUAACGCGUAGUCAACCUACCCUAUGGACGGGAAUAACCUCGGGAAACUGAGUAUAAUGCCCGAUAGAACAUUAUGCCUGGAAUGGUUUAUGUUCCAAAUGAUUUAUCGCCGUAGGAUGGGACUGCGGCCUAUCAGUUUGUUGGUGAGGUAAUGGCCCACCAAGACUAUUACAGGUACGGGCUCUGAGAGGAGUAGCCCGGAGAUGGGUACUGAGACACGGACCCAGGCCCUAUGGGGCGCAGCAGGCGAGAAAACUUUGCAAUGUGCGAAAGCACGACAAGGUUAAUCCGAGUGGUUUCUGCUAAAGGAACCUUUUGUUAGUCCUAAAACCACUGGUGAAUAAGGGGUGGGCAAGUUCUGGUGUCAGCCGCCGCGGUAAAACCAGCACCUCAAGUGGUCAGGAUGAUUAUUGGGCCUAAAGCAUCCGUAGCCGGCUUUGUAAGUUUUCGGUUAAAUCCAUGUGCUCAACGCAUGGGCUGCCGAAAAUACUGCAUGGCUAGGGAGUGGGAGAGGUAGACGGUACUCAGUAGGAAGGGGUAAAAUCCUUUGAUCUAUUGAUGACCACCUGUGGCGAAGGCGGUCUACCAGAACACGUUCGACGGUGAGGGAUGAAAGCUGGGGGAGCAAACCGGAUUAGAUACCCGGGUAGUCCCAGCUGUAAACGAUGCAGACUCGAUGAUGCAUUGGCAUAAUAGCCAGUGCAGUGUCGCAGGGAAGCCGUUAAGUCUGCCGCCUGGGAAGUACGUACGCAAGUAUGAAACUUAAGGAAUUGGCGGGGAGCACCACAAGGGUGAAGCCUGCGGUUCA